This 253-nucleotide ribosomal RNA is filed under the name uncultured bacterium. RNAcentral describes it as "partial 16S ribosomal RNA". It matches the Rfam family "Bacterial small subunit ribosomal RNA", at positions 524 to 776 of the family's 1533-position model. The record is from RNAcentral.
GACAGAGGGUGCAACCGUUGUUCGGAAUUACUGGGCGUAAAGCGCGUGUAGGCGGUCGGGUAAGUCGGAUGUGAAAGCCCCGGGCUCAACCCGGGAAGUGCAUUCGAUACUACUUGGCUAGAGUACUGGAGAGGAUGGUGGAACUCUCGGUGUAGAGGUGAAAUUCGUAGAUAUCGAGAAGAACACCGGCGGCGAAGGCGGCCAUCUGGACAGAUACUGACGCUGAGACGCGAAAGCGUGGGGAGCAAACAGG